Molecule: ribosomal RNA, 396 nt
Filed under: uncultured bacterium
Lineage: Bacteria
Description: partial 16S ribosomal RNA
Rfam family: Bacterial small subunit ribosomal RNA
Source: RNAcentral
AUACGUAGGGGGCAAGCGUUAUCCGGAUUUAUUGGGUGUAAAGGGUGCGUAGACGGACAUGCAAGUUGGCUGUGAAAUCCCGAGGCUCAACCUCGGAACUGCAACCAAAACUACAUAUCUUGAGUACUGGAGGGGAAAGCGGAAUUCCUAGUGUAGCGGUGAAAUGCGUAGAUAUUAGGAAGAACACCGGUGGCGAAGGCGGCUUUCUGGACAGCAACUGACGUUGAGGCACGAAAGUGUGGGUAGCAAACAGGAUUAGAUACCCUGGUAGUCCACACUGUAAACGAUGGAUACUAGAUGUUGGUGAUGAUGAAUCAUCAGUGUCGUCGCAAACGCAAUAAGUAUCCCACCUGAGUAGUACGACCGCAAGGUUGAAACUCAAAGGAAUUGACGGGG